RNAcentral lists this ribosomal RNA (208 nucleotides) under uncultured Bacillota bacterium. Its description in RNAcentral is "uncultured Firmicutes bacterium partial 16S ribosomal RNA". It matches the Rfam family "Bacterial small subunit ribosomal RNA", at positions 568 to 775 of the family's 1533-position model. The record is from RNAcentral. Lineage: Bacteria; Bacillati; Bacillota.
CGCGCAGGCGGGAAUACAAGUCAGAUGUGAAAACUCCGGGCUUAACUUGGAGACUGCAUUUGAAACUGUAUUUCUUGAGGACAGGAGAGGAAAGCGGAAUUCCUAGUGUAGCGGUGAAAUGCGUAGAUAUUAGGAGGAACACCAGUGGCGAAGGCGGCUUUCUGGACUGUAACUGACGCUGAGGCGCGAAAGCGUGGGGAGCAAACGG